Molecule: ribosomal RNA, 375 nt
Filed under: uncultured bacterium
Lineage: Bacteria
Description: bacterial SSU rRNA
Rfam family: Bacterial small subunit ribosomal RNA
Source: RNAcentral
UACGGAGGGUGCGAGCGUUAAUCGGAAUUACUGGGCGUAAAGCGCGCGUAGGCGGUUUGUUAAGUCAGCUGUGAAAGCCCCGGGCUCAACCUGGGAACUGCAGUUGAUACUGGCCGACUAGGGUACGAGAGAGGGAGGUAGAAUUCCAUGUGUAGCGGUGAAAUGCGUAGAUAUAUGGAGGAAUACCGGUGGCGAAGGCGGCCUCCUGGCUCGAUACUGACGCUGAGGUGCGAAAGCGGGGGGAUCAAACAGGAGUAGAUACCCUGGUAGUCCACGCCGUAAACGAUGUCUACUAGCCGUUGGGAGACUUGAUUUCUUAGUGGCGCAGCUAACGCAAUAAGUAGACCGCCUGGGGAGUACGGCCGCAAGGUUAAA